This 496-nucleotide ribosomal RNA is filed under the name uncultured bacterium. Its description in RNAcentral is "partial 16S ribosomal RNA". It matches the Rfam family "Bacterial small subunit ribosomal RNA", at positions 29 to 507 of the family's 1533-position model. The record is from RNAcentral.
AUGAACGCUGGCGGCGUGCCUAAUACAUGCAAGUCGAGCGAGCAGACGAGGAGCUUGCUCCUCUGACGUUAGCGGCGGACGGGUGAGUAACACGUGGAUAACCUACCUAUAAGACUGGGAUAACUUCGGGAAACCGGAGCUAAUACCGGAUAAUAUAUUGAACCGCAUGGUUCAAUAGUGAAAGACGGUUUUGCUGUCACUUAUAGAUGGAUCCGCGCCGCAUUAGCUAGUUGGUAAGGUAACGGCUUACCAAGGCAACAAUGCGUAGCCGACCUGAGAGGGUGAUCGGCCACACUGGAACUGAGACACGGUCCAGACUCCUACGGGAGGCAGCAGUAGGGAAUCUUCCGCAAUGGGCGAAAGCCUGACGGAGCAACGCCGCGUGAGUGAUGAAGGUCUUCGGAUCGUAAAACUCUGUUAUUAGGGAAGAACAAAUGUGUAAGUAACUAUGCACGUCUUGACGGUACCUAAUCAGAAAGCCACGGCUAACUACGUG